GAGUUUGAUCGUGGCUCAGAUUGAACGCUGGCGGUAUGCUUAACACAUGCAAGUCGAACGGUAACAGGAGAGAGCUUGCUCUUUUGCUGACGAGUGGCGGACGGGUGAGUAAUGCGUAGGAAUCUGCCUAGUAGUGGGGGACAACGUGUGGAAACGCACGCUAAUACCGCAUACGCCCUACGGGGAAAGCGGGGAGUCUUCGGACCUCGCGCUAUUAGAUGAGCCUACGUUAGAUUAGCUAGUUGGUGGGGUAAGGCCUACCAAGGCGACGAUCUAUAGCUGGUCUGAGAGGAUGAUCAGCCACACUGGGACUGAGACACGGCCCAGACUCCUACGGGAGGCAGCAGUGGGGAAUAUUGGACAAUGGGCGAAAGCCUGAUCCAGCAAUACCGCGUGUGUGAAGAAGGCCUGAGGGUUGUAAAGCACUUUCAAUUGUGAAGAAAUAUUUAAGGUUAAUAACCUUAAAUUUUGACGUUAACUUUAGUAAGAAGCACCGGCUAACUCCGUGCCAGCCGCCGCGGUAAC
This 525-nucleotide ribosomal RNA is filed under the name uncultured microorganism. Its description in RNAcentral is "bacterial SSU rRNA". It matches the Rfam family "Bacterial small subunit ribosomal RNA", at positions 9 to 524 of the family's 1533-position model. The record is from RNAcentral.